Molecule: non-coding RNA, 277 nt
Filed under: Megasphaera cerevisiae
Lineage: Bacteria; Bacillati; Bacillota; Negativicutes; Veillonellales; Veillonellaceae
Description: T-box sequence
Rfam family: T-box leader
About the family: Uncharged tRNA acts as the effector for transcription antitermination of genes in the T-box leader family. T-boxes are found upstream of many aminoacyl-tRNA synthetase genes and some amino acid biosynthetic genes usually in Gram-positive bacteria.
Source: RNAcentral
AAAACAGUGUUGAUUGGGAAAAGUAAUACUGUCUGCUGACAUUACAGAGAACCUGUUAUUCGGUGCGAAACAGGAUGAAAGCACAUUAUGAAAAUCACCCAGGAGCUGCCAGCCGAACACCUUUGUGGUAAGUAAGCAUGGCCGAGUGACAAUCGUUAUAUUGUCGGGCAUUGAACGCAGGAAAAAUCCUCCGGUGAUGUCUGUAAAAGAGGUCGUGUAUAACGGUGUAUGCGACAAUAAGAGUGGUACCGCAGAGUGAUUACACUUUGUCUCUUUC